RNAcentral lists this ribosomal RNA (492 nucleotides) under uncultured bacterium. Its description in RNAcentral is "partial 16S ribosomal RNA". It matches the Rfam family "Bacterial small subunit ribosomal RNA", at positions 29 to 507 of the family's 1533-position model. The record is from RNAcentral.
AGUGAACGCUGGCGGUAGGCCUAACACAUGCAAGUCGAACGGCAGCACAGUAAGAGCUUGCUCUUACGGGUGGCGAGUGGCGGACGGGUGAGGAAUACAUCGGAAUCUACUUUUUCGUGGGGGAUAACGUAGGGAAACUUACGCUAAUACCGCAUACGACCUACGGGUGAAAGCAGGGGAUCUUCGGACCUUGCGCAAUUGAAUGAGCCGAUGUCGGAUUAGCUAGUUGGCGGGGUAAAGGCCCACCGAGGCGACGAUCCGUAGCUGGUCUGAGAGGAUGAUCAGCCACACUGGAACUGAGACACGGUCCAGACUCCUACGGGAGGCAGCAGUGGGGAAUAUUGGACAAUGGGCGCAAGCCUGAUCCAGCCAUACCGCGUGGGUGAAGAAGGCCUUCGGGUUGUAAAGCCCUUUUGUUGGGAAAGAAAAGCAGCAGGUUAAUACCCCGCUGUUCUGACGGUACCCAAAGAAUAAGCACCGGCUAACUUCGUG